Lineus longissimus is the source of this 3585-nucleotide long non-coding RNA. RefSeq lists it as uncharacterized. Lineage: Eukaryota; Metazoa; Nemertea; Pilidiophora; Heteronemertea; Lineidae. The record is from RefSeq and is a predicted model, not a curated record. The transcript has 4 exons.
AACUUGCCAAUAUAGGGGAGUUCACAUCGAUUUCCGAAGAACCGGAAGCGAACAGAAGUCAUUCAACAUCGUAUAAACAUAGACACGUCGUCAACAACUCAGUCAACAACAACACGCAGGCGCCGCAUCAAUACACGUGGCGCCCCCUCGCACCAAAUCGAGGAACCUUUCAGUGGCAUUUCGUUGGAUGUGAUUUCGCUCGUGCGUGGGCUGAACCUCUUCGUCAGUGGUCUUUAUAUGUAGUGGACGGAUAGCUACUGUAGUUUAGGAUACAUUUUCGCAGGGAGUACUUGGAUACACAGAGAAAUGAAGCUUCUAAAUGUGGCGUGCCUGUGCCUUUUUAUAGUGACGCUUUCGUCUUUCAUUCGCCAAACGAACACACAAUGCACCAACCUUUGCUUGACAGGACUCUCGGCCUGUGUUGGUUCAUGCAAGAAGAACUGUUCACACGACUGUGCGCGCCUCUGCCGGCGGAAAUUACGGAAAUGCAAUGCCUUGGACGAACCACGAGAAUAUUGUGAAAGGUACGCGGGCGGCUGUGCAAGUUAUUGUUAUAGAAGAAAGUGCGUUAAAAAUUACUGCAAAAAGUGCCGGGGUGCCUACGCCAGAUGCUGGUAUUGCUAUUAAAGUCAACAUACUCGUACACCCGUAGAUUUGUAGAACUGUCGGAGUGUAUCGGACAUACAACAUAAGGACCUAGAAACGAGGAUGAUUCCUGAGUCAUCAUGCUAGUCCCCAUUAGACACUGAUAGUGCUGUGACUAUUUCCUAACAUUCAACAGUCAAGGACCAAGAUUCGAGGAUGAAAAUGUUAUAACAUAUAUUUUUCGUGUUCGUGUUUUAUACACACUGUCGUAAUUCGCGUCCCGCUCGGGAGAUGUAGUGCAUUGAUAUGCAGUAGAAUAUAGUAGGAAGCAGAGGGAACGAGGAUACCAUAUCUAGAAGAAAAGAAUGACCAGCGGACCUUUUUCUGACGCGUAGGCGAGUAAACGUCUUUAGCGCGAGAUGUUUGUGGAUGGGUUUUCGAUUCCGCUGAAGACGGUACGAAUUCUAAAUUAUUUCUGAUUUAAGCGCCCUUUCCUUCACCCAGUUACAUUUUUAUAGGAACUCUGAAAAACUAUCAUGUAGAAGGUCAAUCCGGCUAAAGCAAUAGAUAUCGUUAGGAAAGUCUGUGGUUUCGAGAACACGAAAUUUGCUGUUCCCAAACCACUGAACUUACACGUUCAGAACGGCUAUAGUUUGAGAAACAUGAAAUUCCAUGCCCCCAAACCACUCGGCUGAACUUACACCUUCGGAAAAUCUGUGGUUUCGGGGACACGAAAUUCGUUGCUCCCAAACCACUGAACUUACACGUUUCGGAAGGUCUGUCGUUUCGGGAACGAAAUGCGUGUUUCAGGAACAUGACCUUCGAUGCCCCCAAACCACGAGCAACCUGGCUGAUUGCUCCGCUUGAUACUAGUUGUACCUGCCCCGCCUCUAUCUGUCUAACCAGUGCGGACGAGUAUACGUUGAUUGCUGGAUUUUGUGGCGUGCCUCAGCAUUGUACUCCUUAUGACUCUGCCAUAUUUCAUCACCGCCCAAUGCACGAACUAUUGCCUGACUGGACUAUCAUCCUGCGUCGGUUCCUGUCGAAAGAGCUGUUCACAUCAGUGCGAGGGAUUCUGUAGGCGCAAAUUACGGAAGUGUAACCGCUUACGCCGAAACCGCUGGAAAAAUUGCGACAUUUAUUCCUAUGGUUGUGCCUCCUAUUGUUACCGACGAAAGUGCAAGUACAACGUUUGUAGAAAAUGUAGGACGGCCUAUGCCAGGUGUUGGAAUUGCUGAGUCAUCAGCCUCGUCCCCCGAUGCCUUUAGUUUUGGAAAAUUAUUUCGUGUACAUACGAUUGUAGGACCUAGAAACCAGGUUGAUGCGGCAGCGAAUCGCCGAAAUAUUAAGGAUUAUAUUUUUUCAGUUCGGAUGUUUUUAGAGCUCCCUGUAGCGAAUCUCGUCCCUAGUUGAGUAAGGCUGUGCAUUGAUCACACGCAGCUAAUAAAGCGAAUAACGGUGGAGGUGGUUUGUCUGGCCUGCCUUAGCCUUGCCCUCAUCGUGACCCUCUCGCCUUUAAUCCAGCAGACCACCGCCCAAUGUACCAACAGCUGCCUCAGCGGGCUGUCAGCCUGCGUGGGGUCAUGCAGGAAGAACUGUUCCCACUACUGUGGGCGUCUCUGCAAGAGGAAGUAUAGGAAAUGCAAGGCAAGGAAAGACCACAAAAGAAACUGUGACAUCUACUCGCACGGUUGCGCCGUCUAUUGUUACAGAGUGAAAUGCAAGACGUCGAUUUGUAAAAAGUGCAGGACAUCUUACGGCCGAUGUUGGAACUGCUGAGUCGUUAGCCUCGUUCCUAUGGCGCUCCGUUAGGACAUUAAUUAUUGAUUGUACGUGCAAUAUAGAAGGACCUAGUUUCCAGUAUGACGUGGAUUUAGACUUUGGAUUAUUUGUGGACAUUUUUGGAUUAUUUGAUUCGAAUUUUAGGAUGCUGAUUAACCCCGUCCCGUUCGGAUGUAAAUGGAAUUUUGCAGUGCAUUAUUCUGAAGUAGAUCAUGUCAAGAAGCAGCUGGAGUGAGGGUGGCAUUCCUUGCUGUUAAAUACGUGGAAUAUUGUUGAAAUCUAUUCUACGUCAAAUGACGCCACCCAACCUCAUGUUUUGUUGUAAGAGAAUGUGGUCUUAUUUUAAUAUUGCUAGACGAGUGACCUUUCUCACACAAAACACGGAAUACCAAGUGUGUAUACGGAAUUUUUGAUUGCUAACAAACAUCAUAAAAAAGCUCAAGUCCUGAGCGCAGUGGCCGUUGUAUCCGGCCAACAAUCUGGAUGACACUUCAACGCGACUUCUUCGAACAAAUACUGGAACUGUUACAAUUUUUUUCUUUUUGUUUGCAAUCGGUUGCAUCAUUUCGAUAAACUGUCUUCAAUGUUUUAUGUUUAUUGAUUAAGCCAGAUCACAGCUAUUACUGCGCAUGUCAAAACUAGUGUUUAGACUGUGGGAGUGCCUGGAAGAGGUAGUUUGUAAAAUAUGGAAUUCCGCCGCCAUUUUUUUCAUCUUUAUCUUCUCAAUCUUGAACAGGAGAUGCUCAAUACACGUAACCUAUCCUCUGUGUGCCUUCUGUAGAUUCAAGUGGAGAGGUUUUUCGUCUAAAGUUGUGAUAUACGUAGUGCUGUAAAAUGGCGGCUGUGUUUACAGUCAGAAAAUCACGUGGCUGGGCAUGCGCAGUAGUGACUGUGAACUGGCUUGUUAAGUUUAAUUCUUUGACCACCUACGUCCUCCACGUCACCAUGUUCAUAGACACGUGAAAUACAAGGAAAAUACAAUUGAUAACACGAAAUUUGUACUUGUUCUGGCUCUGACUUAGUCGUCUUGUGUCGAGUUUAACCCACGAAUACAUUCUCCCGAUUGUACUAGCCUAACACCGUAAGCCCCUCACCCCCGACUGGCGCUAAUGCGGUCUAAUUCUUAAUGAUUAGAUUGUUGAAAUCCGCGACAGGAUUUUGUCGUGACACGUUCUGCUGUCUCGUAAUAGACUGAUAGGCUAAGUUUUAAAUGUUCAA